AUGUUUAAAGGGCAAAACUAGGGAAACCUAGUGACGCAAAGCUAUAGGGCCCGUAACGGGUAGCCAGUUGUCAUA
Molecule: non-coding RNA, 75 nt
Filed under: Mycoplasmatota bacterium
Lineage: Bacteria; Bacillati; Mycoplasmatota
Description: Tenericutes bacterium c-di-GMP sequence
Rfam family: c-di-GMP-I riboswitch aptamer
About the family: GEMM was predicted in a large-scale screen for bacterial structured RNA regulatory elements. Genes associated with GEMM are involved in a diverse array of functions, including chemotaxis regulation, signal transduction, secretion and chitin.
Source: RNAcentral